CCCCAGACUCCUACGGGAGGCAGCAGUGGGGGAUAUUGCACAAUGGGGGGAACCCUGAUGCAGCGACGCCGCGUGAGGGAAGACGGUUUUCGGAUUGUAAACCUCUGUCUUUAGGGACGAAACAAAUGACGGUACCUAAAGAGGAAGCCACGGCUAACUACGUGCCAGCAGCCGCGGUAAUACGUAGGUGGCAAGCGUUGUCCGGAAUUACUGGGUGUAAAGGGAGCGUAGGCGGGAGGAUAAGUUGAAUGUGAAAUCUAUGGGCUCAACCCAUAGCUGCGUUCAAAACUGUUCUUCUUGAGUGAAGUAGAGGCAGGCGGAAUUCCUAGUGUAGCGGUGAAAUGCGCAGAUAUUAGGAGGAACACCUGUGGCGAAGGCGGCCUGCUGGGCUUUUACUGACGCUGAGGCUCGAAAGCGUGGGUAGCAAACAGGAUUAGAUACCCGUGUACG
This 450-nucleotide ribosomal RNA is filed under the name uncultured bacterium. RNAcentral's name for it is "bacterial SSU rRNA". It matches the Rfam family "Bacterial small subunit ribosomal RNA", at positions 329 to 793 of the family's 1533-position model. The record is from RNAcentral.